Molecule: long non-coding RNA, 1718 nt
Organism: Cyprinus carpio carpio
Lineage: Eukaryota; Metazoa; Chordata; Actinopteri; Cypriniformes; Cyprinidae
Source: Ensembl
GAGAAUCCAGAAACUUUGAGAAUUCUGCUUAUACCUCAAACUUGAGAAAUGCGAGUUCCUCCGUGACCAUUGUCCAUUUCCAUUUCCAUGUCAUCAACCAACACAGGAUCCACAUGGACCAGAAGAAGGUACAGGCAGCUGAGAAUUCGCCACAACCCACAACCAUGAUGGAACUACAAUGCUUCUUGGGGUUUAAAUUUUUUUACAGGAGGUUCAACAGCAACUUCAAUAACAUCUGCUCACCUCUAACCUCCUUGCUGAAACAUGGGGCCAAGUCUCUGUUCUGGAACACUGAAGCAUCCAACACCUUCAACCAUCUCAAGAAAGCCUUAUGUGUUGCUCCUAUUGAAAUGCAUCCCAAUCCAGAACUGCAUAGGAGCCAUAUUGUCUCAGCGCCAGGGUGAGCCUUCCAAACUCCAUUCAUGUGCCUUUUAAUCUAAACUAUGACAUCGGUAACCACAAACUGCUGGCCAUCAAACUUGCCUUAGAAGAGUGGCGCCAUGGGAGCUAAACAUAUCCAUGUUUCUCGCCACUUACCUGAGGGAAAUCUGGUUCCCCUUCCUGUAUCUAACAGGCCAUUGUCACAUAUUGGAAUUGAUUUCAUCAAAGACGCGCCUUCUUCGGAUUCUCGCAAAUGCAUCCUGGUCAUUGUAGACUGCUUCUCAUAAGCGUGUAAGUUGAUUCCUUUGAAUGGACUAUCCACUAUCUUUGAAACUGCCGAGACCCUCUUCCAACAAGUCUUUUGUUAUUUUGGGAUCCCUGAAGAUAUUGCCUCUGACCACGGACCUCAAUUCAUUUUCAGAGUGUGGAACACCUUCAAGUUACUCUGAGUCACAGUCAGCUUAACAUCAGGAUAUCAUCUGCUGUCUAACAGCCAGACUGAGUGUAAGAUACAAGAAAUCUGGAGAUAUCUGCGGCCAUAUUUUCCAUGAACAUCAAGACAGCUGGAGCUGCUACUGUCCAUGGGCCGAGUAUGCACAGAACUCUCUGAGUCAAGCCACCACCAGGUUAACAACCUUACAGUGCAUACUCUGCUAAUUACUGCCUCUGUUUGAGCCUUCUGACAUUCCAGCUUUCCACCAUUAGUUCAAGGAGAGCGAGAGGGUUUGGGACUCAGCUCACAUCCACCUGCAGAUUGCAGUUCGAAGAUACAAGAGCCAGGCUGAUGCUAGAAGAUCAGCGACACCCCAGUAUCAUCCAGGGCAGAUGGUGGCUCUCAACCAGGGACACCCGCCUUCGACUGCCCUGUCGCAAGCUGAGUCCCUGCUAUGUUGGUCAAUUCACAUUCCAGAGGGUGUGCCUCUUCCUCCAAUGGAUCCUUCGGAGGAGAACAUCUACAGAGUCAACACCAACCUAGACUUCCGAUGACAGGGUGGUCGCCUAGAGUACCUCGUAGACUGGGAGGGGUUCGGCCCAGAGGAAAGAUCUUGGGUUCCCAAUGAUGACAUACUAGACCCAUCUCUGCUCCUUGAAUUCCACACGAAUCACCCCGAUAGUCCAGCAUUGAGAGGCAGAGGCCACCGCUGUCGCCCCUUUUCUCCAUUCAGUAUCCAUCUGCAUCCAACUUCCAGAUCCAGCUUACCAACACCAGUUCAUCAAAACCCACAAUGAUAAGACUGUUAUUCAAUGAACUAUCUCAGAAUUGCUCUGUUGAUCAAUCACUUACCUGCUAUGUACGUGUAUCUGUCAAAACCUGCAAUAAACCUGUUGUUUGGAUU